AGUGUGGUGGCCGAGUGGUUAAGGCGUUGGACUUAAGUUCCAAUAGACAGUACCUUCCCCGUGCUG
RNAcentral lists this transfer RNA (66 nucleotides) under Lottia gigantea (owl limpet). It matches the Rfam family "tRNA". From Rfam's summary of the family: Transfer RNA (tRNA) molecules are approximately 80 nucleotides in length. Their secondary structure includes four short double-helical elements and three loops (D, anti-codon, and T loops). Further hydrogen bonds mediate the characteristic L-shaped molecular structure. tRNAs have two regions of fundamental functional importance: the anti-codon, which is responsible for specific mRNA codon recognition, and the 3' end, to which the tRNAs corresponding amino acid is attached (by aminoacyl-tRNA synthetases). tRNAs cope with the degeneracy of the genetic code in two manners: having more than one tRNA (with a specific anti-codon) for a particular amino acid; and 'wobble' base-pairing, i.e. permitting non-standard base-pairing at the 3rd anti-codon position. The record is from Rfam by way of RNAcentral. Lineage: Eukaryota; Metazoa; Mollusca; Gastropoda; Lottiidae.